RNAcentral lists this ribosomal RNA (410 nucleotides) under uncultured bacterium. Its description in RNAcentral is "bacterial SSU rRNA". It matches the Rfam family "Bacterial small subunit ribosomal RNA", at positions 28 to 429 of the family's 1533-position model. The record is from RNAcentral.
GACGAACGCUGGCGGCGUGCUUAACACAUGCAAGUCGAACGGGGUCCAUGGAGAGCUUGCUCUUCGGAAGACCUAGUGGCGAACGGGUGAGUAACACGUGAAGAACCUGUCCCGAAGACGGGGAUAAGCCGGGGAAACCUGGUCUAAUACCCGAUACCUUUACGAGAUCGCAUGGUUUUGUAAAGAAAUGAAUCUUGCUUUGGGAGGGCUUCGCGGCCUAUCAGCUUGUUGGUGAGGUAACGGCNCACCAAGGCUUCGACGGGUAGCUGGUCUGAGAGGACGACCAGCCACACUGGGACUGAGACACGGCCCAGACUCCUACGGGAGGCAGCAGUGGGGAAUAUUGCGCAAUGGGCGAAAGCCUGACGCAGCAACGCCGCGUGUGGGAUGAAGGCUCUCGGGGUUGUAAA